RNAcentral lists this ribosomal RNA (429 nucleotides) under Acidobacteriota bacterium. RNAcentral's name for it is "Acidobacteria bacterium partial 16S ribosomal RNA". It matches the Rfam family "Bacterial small subunit ribosomal RNA", at positions 355 to 776 of the family's 1533-position model. Lineage: Bacteria; Pseudomonadati; Acidobacteriota. The record is from RNAcentral.
UGGGGAAUUUUGGACAAUGGGGGAAACCCUGAUCCAGCCAUCCCGCGUGUGCGAUGAAGGCCUUCGGGUUGUAAAGCACUUUUGGCAGGAAAGAAACGUCAUGGGUUAAUACCCCGUGAAACUGACGGUACCUGCAGAAUAAGCACCGGCUAACUACGUGCCAGCAGCCGCGGUAAUACGUAGGGUGCAAGCGUUAAUCGGAAUUACUGGGCGUAAAGCGUGCGCAGGCGGUUCGGAAAGAAAGAUGUGAAAUCCCAGAGCUCAACUCUGGAACUGCAUUUUUAACUACCGGGCUAGAGUGUGUCAGAGGGAGGUGGAAUUCCGCGUGUAGCAGUGAAAUGCGUAGAUAUGCGGAGGAACACCGAUGGCGAAGGCAGCCUCCUGGGAUAACACUGACGCUCAUGCACGAAAGCGUGGGGAGCAAACAGG